GAUGAACGCUGGCGGCGUGCCUAACACAUUCAAGUCGAACGGACUUAGGGGAGCUUGCUCCCCGAAAGUUAGUGGCGGACGGGUGAGUAACGCGUGAGCAACCUGCCUUACAGAGGGGAAUAACACAGGGAAACUUGUGCUAAUACCGCAUGAACUGUACAUACGGCAUCGUAGGUACAGCAAAGAGCAAUCGCUGUAAGAUGGGCUCGCGUCUGAUUAGAUAGUUGGUGGGGUAACGGCCUACCAAGUCAACGAUCAGUAGCCGGACUGAGAGGUUGAACGGCCACAUUGGAACUGAGAAACGGUCCAGACUCCUACGGGAGGCAGCAGUGGGGAAUAUUGGGCAAUGGGCGAAAGCCUGACCCAGCGACGCCGCGUGAGGGAAGAAGGUCUUCGGGUUGUAAACCUCUUUCAGCAGGGAAGAAGCAAGUGACGGUACCUGCAGAAGAAGUCACGGCUAACUACGUG
Molecule: ribosomal RNA, 468 nt
Filed under: uncultured bacterium
Lineage: Bacteria
Description: bacterial SSU rRNA
Rfam family: Bacterial small subunit ribosomal RNA
Source: RNAcentral